AACACCUGGCGAGGGAAACAAGUGUGAGGCUGGUGGCCGCGUGGCACUGGCUCUGUGCUGUCUACCGCCCUGACUCUCCCUGUUGUAGUGGACACAAAGUGAGUUCAGAUUUUUUUCUCACUCCGGCGCCGCAAAGGGAGGUGAGGCAGCAUGUUGUACCCUCAGCUGGUGGUGAUAGGCAUACUGAUGGGGGCGGUGCUCUUCGUUGGCUACAGCAACAGGCACAUGCAGAUUGAGUUGGUCAAGGCAAACCAAUCACUCAUUGCCUCCGAGCGAAGCCUACCUACCCUGAAAAAUGAACUUAGGAUCUGCACUACACAACUGGAGCAGCGCAAGAAACACAUCAGCGACGUGGAGAACGAGAAAAAGCAGCUAAGCGCGACUCUUGCUGACAUAGAGAAGCAGUUCACCGACAUGAAGCCUCAAGCGGACGUCCUCGCGAAGAAGGAGAAGGAGAUGCAAGAGCUUAGAGAGAAACUGAAGGCUGCUACGGAGAGCGAGUCGAAGGAGAGAGGAAAACUCACGGCCGUGCAAAAUGCCCUUGACCAGCUGGCGAAGGAGGAGGAGGAGAGGAAUGCCCAGAAAGCUAAAGCAGCAGCUCAGGAAAGCAAAGCCCCUACUGGCAGCAAGAAACAGUAGUAAUGCUAUAUAGAAUAAAAAUUGCCUAUGCAGAAUUCAAAGCUAAACGUUCAAAUUGUUCGUUAAUGUUCGCAUGUUUCGGUGGGACGACCUGAGGAUGUACUUUUCCGAUUUCCCGUGGAAUGAUUACUGCUUCCAGGAGAGAGACCCCUCUGUGUGUGCUCAGCGCAUCACAGAGGUGAUUGUCUCUGGAAUGGAGGCAUACAUUCCACGUACUUUCUCUACUCCUCAUGCUAAAAAGCCUUGGUUUAAUCAUGCUUGUUCUCGUGCUAUUAAAGAUAGAGAGGCAGCUCACAAAGGUUUCCAGAGGCUUCGAACUCCCGCUAAUUUUGAUCUUUACAUUUCAGCCCGGAAUCGUGCCAAAUCUAUUCUCCGACUAACCAAAGCUUCUUUCAUUAAUAGAAAAUGUCAACACCUUGCUUCUUCUAAUUCUUCCCGUGACUUCUGGCAUCUAGCCAAAAAAAUCUCCAAUUUCACUUCUUCCUCUUUCCCUCCUCUCCUUAACCCUGACGGCAGCACUGCUGUCUCAUCUGUCUCUAAAGCUGAACUCUUCGCUCAAACUUUCUGUAAGAACUCCACCCUGGACGAUUCUGGGCAUAUUCCUCCUACUCAUCCCCCCUCUGACUCCUUUAUGCCUGUUAUUAAGAUUCUUCCAAAUGAUGUUUUCUAUGCCCUCUCUGGCCUCAACUCUCAGAAGGUUCAUGGACCUGAUGGAGUGCCUCCUAUUGUCCUUAAAAAUGUGCUUCUGUGCUGACACCCUGCCUGGCUAAACUCUUUCGUCUCUGCCUAUCAACAUCUAUCUUUCCUUCCUGCUGGAAGUAUGCCUUUGUACAGCCUGUGCCUAAGAAGGGUGACCGUUCCAAUCCCUCAAACUACCGCCCUAUAGCUUUACCUUCCUGUCUAUCUAAAGCUUUUGAAUCAAUCUUUAACCGGAAGAUUCAGAAGCACCUUUCCACUUCUAACCUUCUAUCUGAUCGCCAGUAUGGAUUCCGCAAGGGGCGUUCUACUGUCGAUCUUCUUGCUCUCUUAACUGACUCUUGGUCAUCCUCUCUUAGCCGUUUCGGUGAAACUUUCUCUGUUGCGCUAGACAUAUCGAAAGCCUUCGAUAGAGUCUUUGCUUUCUAAACUGCCCUCUUUCGGAUUCUAUCCCUCUCUCUGUUCCUUUAUCUCCAUUUUCCUUUCCGGCCGUUCUAUCUCUGCGGUGGUAGACGGUCACUGCUCUUCCCCUAAACCUGUCAACAGUGGCGUUCCACAGGGCUCUGUCCUAUCACCCACUCUCUUCCUGUUAUUCAUCAAUGAUCUUCUUUCCAUAACAAACUGUCCUGUCCACUCAUACGCCGACGACUCCACUCUGCAUUAUUCAACUUCUUUCAAUAGAAGACCCUCUCAACAGGAAGUACACGACUCCAGACUGGAGGCUGCAGAACGCUUAACCUCAGGCCUUGCUAUCAUUUCCGAUUGGGGCAGAAGGAACCUUGUGUCCUUCAAUGCCUCAAAAACUCAAUUUCUCCACCUAGCAACUCGACACAAUCUUCCAAACACCUAUCCCCUAUUCUUCGACAACACUCAGCUGUCACCGUCUUCAACACUAAACAUCCUCGGUCUAUCCUUAACUCAAAAUCUCAACUGGAAACUUCAUAUCUCCUCUCUUGCUAAAUCAGCUUCCUCGAGGUUGGGCGUUCUGUAUCGUCUCCGCCAGUUCUGCUCCCCCGCGCAGUUGCUAUCCAUAUACAGGGGCCUUGUCCGCCUUCGUAUGGAGUAUGCAUCUCACGUGUGGGGAGGCUCCACUCACACAGCUCUUCUGGACAGAGUGGAGUCUAAGGCUCUUCGUCUCGUCAGCUCUCCUCCUCCUACUGAUAGUCUUCUACCUCUUAAAUUCCGCCGCGAUGUUGCCUCUCUUUCUAUCUUCUAUCGAUAUUUCCACGCUGACUGCUCUUCUGAACUUGCUAAUUGCAUGCCUCCCCCCCUCCCGCGGCCCCGCUGCACACGACUUUCUACUCAUGCUCAUCCCUAUACUGUCCAAACCCCUUAUGCAAGAGUUAACCAGCAUCUUCACUCUUUCAUCCCUCAUGCUGGUAAACUCUGGAACAACCUUCCUUCAUCUGUAUUUCCUCCUGCCUACGACUUGAACUCUUUCAAAAGAAGGGUAUCAGGACACCUCUCUUCCCGAAAUUGACCUUUCUUUCGGCAACCUCUUUUGACUCUUCUUUGGGAGCAGCGAGUUGCGGGCUUUUUUAUUAUUGUUUUCUCUUUUUGUGCCCUUGAGCUGUCUCCUUUGCUGUAAAAAAAAGAAGAAAAAAAAAAAAGAGCGGUUCGGCGAUUCCCAUCAUUUUUUUUCAUGACAUUGCGGGAGGCCCUCAUAACUUCCGGCCUUCAUCAUCACCUGCCCCCUCCCCCCCCUUCCUCUCACAAUUAUCUUAAGGAGAAUAGUAUAUUAUCGCAUGAAGGCGUACGUAUUCGGUCAACAAUGUAAGCACCGAAGUUACUUAAUCUCAAUUAGAAUGCCCUGCGUUUCAACCGAUUAGUCUUGCAAAUUCCUUAUGUCCUUUAGGCUGCGAGUCCUGCAACCCAUAGCAGGUUUUCGACAGCCUGAAAACAGAACGUUAAUUGUAGAACUGGUCAACACGAUAUUCCCUCACCGUGUGCUGUGUAUACAUUUACUUACUUGAAUGUUGUGAUGUUAUCGCUGCUAUUGUUGCUACUGUAAUGGCCGCGAGUCGACACACCUGUGAACAGAUGAUUGAAGCAGGUGGUCCGAGAGGUCGUGACGGUGUUCGUGAUGCUGUUCAUUCGUUUACAAGAACCCGGAAGUAUGUUGCCCGUAUGAAGUACCUAUAUAACUAACUCCGUUUUGUAUAUGAUGUGCUGUGCUAGAAUUACAAAUCUCACCACUACAUUUUCCUUUCACACAAUUCUUACGUGAUAAUCCCACCACAAAGUGAACCAGUGAACCGGCACUUUGACCCCUCCUACCCGUAAUGACUAUAUUCAACUAUUCACCUUGUUAUCAUCGACCAGUUCCUAUAGGGCCAGGUCCAUAGUUCUACAGGUGAAAUCGCCAAAAAUGAUAAUCUAUCUCCGCCUAAUUGGUUAAAACUAAUACAUCACAUAAAAAGACCAAGACACUGACUUUUGGCGCGCCAAUCAGUCAGGACGGGAUUACACCGAGGGGAGCCUUGCCUCGCACAAGUGUCUAGAAUACAUGGGUUCGCCCAUCCCAGGAUGCCGAUCCCGGCGGUUCCUGUGGGCAAGUGUAGGUACAUGCAGGCCCCUUUCCAUACCUCCUGGCGGGAUCUAUCAACUUGCUCGUCACGAACUCGUGGGCGUCCCCUUGGCCUCCUCCACUCGGGAUUGUCUCUU
Eriocheir sinensis (Chinese mitten crab) is the source of this 3999-nucleotide long non-coding RNA. RefSeq lists it as uncharacterized. NCBI's taxonomy places the organism in Eukaryota, Metazoa, Arthropoda, Malacostraca, Decapoda, Varunidae. The record is from RefSeq and is a predicted model, not a curated record. The transcript has 5 exons.